GUGCAGGAUGGCGACGGCGGCCUACGAGCAGCUGAAGCUGCAUAUCACACCUGAAAAAUUUUAUGUGGAAGCUUGUGAUGAUGGAGCAGAUGAUGUACUUACCAUCGACCGUGUGUCCACAGAGGUUACCCUUGCAGUCAAGAAAGAUGUUCCUCCUUCAGCUGUCACAAGACCAAUAUUUGGUAUACUGGGCACAAUCCAUCUGGUGGCAGGUAAUUAUCUUAUAGUCAUUACCAAAAAGAUAAAAGUAGGUGAAUUUUUCAGUCAUGUAAUCUGGAAAGCAACAGAUUUUGAUGUCCUUUCUUAUAAGAAGACAAUGUUGCACUUAACUGAUAUUCAGUUACAAGAUAAUAAAACCUUCCUAGCGAUGCUAAACCAUGUCUUGAAUGUGGAUGGAUUUUACUUUUCAACAACAUAUGAUUUGACCCAUACUUUGCAGCGGCUAUCCAACACUAGUCCUGAAUUCCAAGAAAUGAGUCUCUUGGAAAGGAUCAGCGAUUUGUAUGGAAUGGUCAUCUUCUAAGAGAACUUUCUGCACAGCCAGAGGUUCAUCGGUUUGCCCUUCCAGUGUUACAUGGCUGUA
This 583-nucleotide small RNA is filed under the name Pan troglodytes (chimpanzee). Its description in RNAcentral is "processed transcript". Lineage: Eukaryota; Metazoa; Chordata; Mammalia; Primates; Hominidae. The record is from RNAcentral.